GGAAGCAUGAGUACAGAAUCCAGCUGCUUCCACCCCGGGGGCAGGUCUGAAUUCAUUGGUCCUGUAUUUUCUGGCUUGUGACCUCAGUCUGCUGGAUGAUGCACAGAACCCUCCUGGGCCCCUGCUUUUCCUGACUCUCCUCUCCUGAUGGGGGUAAGGGGCUCUCCCAUCACCAAUGCACUCCUUGAAGCAACUGCUCUGCCUGACACACCCGCCUGGGAAUCCUGGACCUCCAGUGAGUUGAGUAACGGGCCAUCCUUUCUACCUUCCAGGAAAUGAUAACAGCAGUUCAUCACAGGCUUAUGUCUCAUGGGUAAGAGACCAGUGGACCUCUAGCAUCCAUACAACUGCCUGACUUCUACAUGACAGAAUCAAUGUCUACGAUACAAUCAGCCACUUCAAAGCCACUUCCCAACAGUGCUUAUCCGGGAGGAUUUAAAGGCAGUGAUAAACACAAGUUUGAUACCUGAUGUGGUCUCUGAAACGAGGACAGGAGAAAGUGCAGGCAGACAUGGAACACAGAGGCAUGUCCUAAGGCAUUUCUCCUUUUACGGGCUCUUCUCUCCGUGAAGAUGGCAUUUCUCUGAGCGCUUACGAAGAUUACUCACCAAGAAAGAGACACUGGGCAGGUCUCCCACCUUGGAAACCCCUGGUCUCUGCCUGGCUGAGGCCCCAAGUUGACACUGGUAUGGCUGUGGCUCAGCCUUGGAACACCGCUGAUCCCACUGGAAUCACAGGAUCUUGCUUGAAAAAGUCAAGGCACUGACUCGGGGAGCCCAGAUACCUUUAGGGUCCAGGUAAGAAGAGAAGCUAGCAGAGCUAACAUUGAGGGGGUCCCUUCUGAGUCCAGACCCUCUUCUACGCACUUGGCAGACGCUGGUUCUCUGAGUCCUCCCAGGCGUCCCCUGAAACGGGUGGUGUCACGCACGGUCUGGAAGCCCAAGGCUAUCAGAGCCUUGCGACAUGAGGGUUCAUCAGGGCCUGUGACCCAAAGAAUAUGGGAUCCCCUACAACAGUCUUUGGAACACAAGAAACCAAUCCCGGGCAGGUCAGCAGGACUUAAUUGGGGGGGAUGGAUUCAAACAGGCCUGUGUUGGGCCCUUGAGCUGCUAGCCUGCAACCCAAUCAUUAAUUUUUUUUUUAAUUUUCUUAAUAGUUUUCUCAUUUUAUAGAUAAGAAGGAUAAAACUGGAGGGAGGUUUUCUUCCUCGGAAUCCCGCUCUCGGAUUUUAAGCUGACAAUCUUCCCACGCCACGUGUCACCUGCAGAACUUGGGCUUUGAAGCUCACAUGGUGACCGCCUCUCCCACCGGGUCCCUCAGCCAGGACAGCUUCAGCCCUGGGCCACCCCAGCCUUUCAUAAACUCUGGAUUUUUAAUUGAACCAACCGUAUACUCAACCAAUCCGGUCGUGGCAUAACCUAAAAACCAUCAAUGUCAGCGAAAGGAGAUGGUCCGACACAGGGACCCCUCCAGCCACACAUAGCAGAGCUGGGACCGAAGCUGGAGGCGUCACCAAAACAGGGGAGGCAUCCAAAGUUGGUUUUAACGAAGACCAAACAGCCGGAAUCCUCCUAGAGGGGGCCCGCCAGCCACCACACAGUGCUGGGGGCAAAUCGAAUGUUCUCUCAGCUGCUCCAAGUUUAGAAAUCAGGUGCUGACUCAUUAUUAACCCAGGAAGCCCACACACUCAAAUGACUGUACUGAAAAAGCUCUGUCAUACCCUGCUUACUGAUGUGCAGAUUUUUAAGCAAAUUUGAAAAAUGUUUACCAUAAGGUAUUUAUGACAUUUUAACCGUUUCAUUUACAGUAACCAGACGACAUUUGAAAAAAAAAAAAGUUUCCUGUAUUUUACUUGACAGUAAAGCUAAGCUUUAUCAGAAUGUUAACAGCUUGAGAAACACAUACCGAGGUCAAGUCAGGUCUCAAAACCACUCAAUUCCCCCUUCCUCACCCCCUGCCCCCCAGUCCGCGGCAUCAUUUUCUUUCUGAUUUUACUAUUGUUUGUGACUUUUCAGUGUUAAGGAAAGGCAAAAGACACCAAAUAAGCUCCUGGAAUCUUUCUCAUGCUCUUAGAGAGAAAAGCCAAAAGUCUGCCUCUUUAUUGUGUAUUUCUUGCACUAAAAGUGGGAAGCUCAGACCACGCGGCCAGAAAUUGCUCAGAAGCUGUCUUUCCUCCACCUCUGAGAAGCGGAAGCCAGCCCGGCCUCAGCACCGCUGGGUUAGUCACCCACCUCCACCUCUGAACUUCCCUUCGGCUCCACAGAGGAGUCUCAAACAGCUUUUAAACCAGCCAAGCAUCACUGUCUCCUCGGUAAUAUAGGAUGAGCAUUCUCACAAUGAACCGCUAAGAAACUCCAAGCAAUCAGGUUCCCGGACAGUAGCUACAGGGACAGGGCAGAGAGCCACCUUUCUAAAGUCAAAGAUCUUCAAUGUCUCAACGAAACACAGUAUCCACUCCAAGACCCCUCAGCUUUCCUAGAGCUGAGACACUGAGGCAAACUGCAGAAAUGAACAUGAAAGUGACAGAAACCUACUCACCAGGGAGAAGCUGAGGGCUCCACCUUCCCAGGACCAGGCUGUGAAGAUGUGAAAGCAGAUGCUGACUCAGGCACAGCCCGCCUGGAAUGUCAGUUUGAAACUUAAAAAGCAACGACCAUACAGUCAGUUAUUUCCCUCCAUUCCCAAUGAUGUCCACACGAUUGAGACUCAAAAAAAAAAAGGCGCACACCUCAAUCUUCAUUCUCAUUGGAACGAGAUGACUCAUGCUGACUCACAGCCACCACUUCCUCUCCCGACAUUCUCUUCAUACUUGUGAGCUGGGCUGGUCCCGUUCCCAGGGUCUUUGCAGCCCUUCCUGGAAGAACAGCCUUCCUGACCCCAGCAAGCAGACCCAGCCACUGCCCUACAUGUAGCCCUGGGAGCCUACACUAGGGAAAUGCUUUAUUUAGGAGAUCUGGGAACAGCUGAAAUAGAAAAUGCAAGAACUUCCUAUGCAUUUGAACCUGCAAUAGACACUGAAAUUUUGUAACGGAUUGCAAAACUCCUGCACUAAACUGCUCUUUUCAGGGCAUUUCAGGGGGAGAGAGGAAUGAGGUAUUAUCUUCUUCUUGCAGGAGGUUAGUUUGCCCUAGUCAUGCUUAUUUCAGUGUAUGUUUUCUCCUGCACCUCUUCCUCUGAUAGAGUAAUAAAUCACGGGCUCUAAAAUCAUGAUCUCUUCAAAGCUAUUUAUUAAGAGUUUGUAUGCCCUGUUUUUAAGAUCAAGUGAUGUACCAAAUCUCUUCAAUCCAUCUUUCAGGCUUCAAGACUAUGCCAGAUUUGAAUAUUCAAGUCCCAAGGAAUGAAAUGAAAGUAGAACCCUGGCAAUUUUAAAAACCGUUGAUGAAUGUUUCCAUGCAAGAACUGAGACUAGCCUCUGCCUCCCAGUUUUCUUUGGAAUGAUCCCGGGGGUGGGGCAGCCUUCCACAGCUUCCCACAGUUUUAAAUUAUGAGAGGCAACGGAAGAGCAGAAUCUGUGUGAUGUUGAGCAGCCAGGAAGCGUGGCUGUGGCCGCAUCAGGCCCACCCUGGUUUCUGGAGGGUGACCCAUGAAAGACCAGGGGUGAACACGGGUGCCCUUCACCCUUUCUAACUCAGUACCUGUCACUGUGCAGGCCACACUCUGAUACCCCUAAAGCACAGAAAGCCAAUGAGGAAAUGCUGUUCUGGAAGUGGGCAGAAGACCCAGGCAAGCGGCAUCUGUGUGCACCCGGGAGGGGUCAGGAAACCCACUCUCCAUUUACAGCUGGAUUCAUUUUAGGGAAAUAAUACUUGUUCAUUACUCUAGAUCUCAGUUCUUUCAACAGGGCAAUCGGGGCAUUUUCUAUCAGACAAUACCAAGUGCUUUGAGGUCCCUGUGGACGUUGCAGUAUAUUAGUCAACUGGCCAAAUAUUCGUGUUUCUGGCAGUGUUUUGGUUUUUGAUUUUUUUCCAGGAGCGUGGAAAGCCUGUUGGUUUUCUGGAAUUUCAGAACGGCUAUGUUGUGCAAUUCGUUGCAGUGUGUUUUCUUUUGGGGGAGAGUGGGAAUGGGGGUGGGUGCAGUGGGCUCGUGAGCAGCCUGUCCUAAAGGGACACAUCUUAGGACGUGAGGGUCUAGCAGCCCCACGAGAAGCAGGCAUUGAUGCCAGGAGGCUGUGAGGGCUAUUGAAGCAGGGAUUAUGAAUUGUUAUUUUUGUGCUAUAUGUAGAAAGCCAGCCUCUACUUAUGAAGACGUGUAUUAGGUCAACUCAUUAAUCCCUGGGGGGAGCUGAAAAAUUAUUAAUUGAAAAAAAAAACCACCAGGAAGGAAUUAAAGAAAUUUGAAAUAGUUGGGAAAGGUAGGCUCCAAGGGACAGCCACUCCCUCCUGCCGGAAAGGCCCUACCAGAGGCGUCAUUGCUUUACCAGUGGUUUCUUCCUCAGCCACGCUGUUUCAGUGACGCUUCCGGAGUCCUCCAGGGCAAGGCCUCCUCUUAUAGCAGGAGCCUUGAGCCACCACUGUGGAAAGACAGUGGAACUGUGUUCUCCAUGUAGUGUUGCAUCGGAUAAUCCCAGGGAUAAUGUGUCAAUUCCUGAUUGCCCCUCCUUCCAAAGCUCUUCUCAUCCGGGCCAGGAAGUGGGAAAGGGCACCAGUGUGAGAAGGGGCUGCCAUCAAUACAUUCAUAAAUAAAUUAUUUAUUAAGGCAAAUCAGCACCACCUCCCAUGAUUGUUAAUACGGAAUGUUCUAGAGAGGAUUCACUUCUGCGUAGUUCACCAGAAAGGAACCAAUGAUGACAUUUUAAAUGUGGCUACAUGGAAACACGUUUUAAACAUCGGCAUGCUUUUUCCCCAAUGAGAAUAGCACUGGAAGAAUUUAGGUUUCCAUGACUUAGGGAAAUAAACAAGUUUCACUCCUGAA
Molecule: long non-coding RNA, 4911 nt
Organism: Mesoplodon densirostris (Blainville's beaked whale)
Lineage: Eukaryota; Metazoa; Chordata; Mammalia; Artiodactyla; Ziphiidae
Exons: 2
Source: RefSeq, a predicted model, not a curated record